Molecule: ribosomal RNA, 201 nt
Filed under: uncultured Ascomycota
Lineage: Eukaryota; Fungi; Ascomycota
Description: partial 18S ribosomal RNA
Rfam family: 5.8S ribosomal RNA (bases 157-201)
Source: RNAcentral
UUGAGCUGCGUGAAUGGGGCGAAGCCCGACCUCCAACCCUUUUGUGAACCAACCCUGGUUGCUUCGGGGGCGACCCCGCCGUUUUCGGCGACGGCGCCCCCGGAGGUCAUCAAACACUGCAUCUUUGCGUCGGAGUCUUAAAGUAAAUUUAAACAAAACUUUCAACAACGGAUCUCUUGGUUCUGGCAUCGAUGAAGAACG